RNAcentral lists this unclassified non-coding RNA (336 nucleotides) under soil metagenome. Its description in RNAcentral is "partial contains 5.8S ribosomal RNA, internal transcribed spacer 2, and large subunit ribosomal RNA". The stretch from base 1 to 120 matches the Rfam family "5.8S ribosomal RNA", at positions 35 to 154 of the family's 154-position model. The record is from RNAcentral.
GAUGAAGAACGUAGCGAAAUGCGAUAAGUAGUGUGAAUUGCAGAAUUCAGUGAAUCAUCGAAUCUUUGAACGCACAUUGCGCCCCUUGGUAUUCCAUGGGGCAUGCCUGUUCGAGCGUCAUUUGUACCUUCAAGCUUUGCUUGGUGUUGGGUGUUUGUCUCGCCUUUGCGUGUAGACUCGCCUUAAAAUAAUUGGCAGCCGGCGUAUUGAUUUCGGAGCGCAGUACAUCUCGCGCUUUGCACUCAUAACGACAGCGUCCAAAAGUACAUUUUACACUCUUGACCUCGGAGCAGGUAGGGAUACCCGCUGAACUUAAGCAUAUCAAUAAGCGGAGGA